Molecule: non-coding RNA, 101 nt
Filed under: Anaerosporomusa subterranea
Lineage: Bacteria; Bacillati; Bacillota; Negativicutes; Acetonemataceae
Description: Anaerosporomusa subterraneum THF-I sequence
Rfam family: THF (Tetrahydrofolate) riboswitch aptamer
About the family: THF riboswitch presents a pseudoknot that joins P1-P2 and the loop of P3 and two THF binding.
Source: Rfam by way of RNAcentral
GGCAGAGUAGGAAAUUGUGCGUUAAGUGCUAGCUGGACAGGAAGUUGCCGCUAGACGAAAGAUCACUUUGAUUUGCGGUGCAAUUUCCGCAUUCCGCUGCC